ACGUAGGAGGCUAGCGUUAUCCGGAUUUACUGGGCGUAAAGCGCGUGUAGGCGGUUUCGUAAGUUGGAUGUGAAAGCUCCUAGCUUAACUGGGAGAGGUCGUUCAAGACUGCGAGACUUGAGAGUGGUAGAGGAAGGUGGAAUUCCGGGUGUAGUGGUGAAAUGCGUAGAUAUCCGGAGGAACACCAGUGGCGAAAGCGGCCUUCUGGACCAUUUCUGACGCUCAGACGCGAAAGCUAAGGUAGCAAACGG
RNAcentral lists this ribosomal RNA (251 nucleotides) under uncultured prokaryote. RNAcentral's name for it is "partial 16S rRNA". It matches the Rfam family "Bacterial small subunit ribosomal RNA", at positions 525 to 775 of the family's 1533-position model. The record is from RNAcentral.